Molecule: ribosomal RNA, 239 nt
Filed under: uncultured bacterium
Lineage: Bacteria
Description: partial 16S ribosomal RNA
Rfam family: Bacterial small subunit ribosomal RNA
Source: RNAcentral
AAUGUCCUACGGGAGGCAGCAGUAGGGAAUCUUCCACAAUGGACGAAAGUCUGAUGGAGCAACGCCGCGUGAGUGAAGAAGGGUUUCGGCUCGUAAAGCUCUGUUGGUAGGGAAGAAAGAUAGAGGUAGUAACUGGCCUUUAUUUGACGGGAAUUACUUAGAAAGUCACGGCUAACUACGUGCCAGAAGCCGCGGUAAUACGUAGGUGGCAAGCGUUGUCCGGAUUUAUUGGGGGUAAA